UACGGGGGGGGCAAGCGUUGUUCGGAAUUACUGGGCGUAAAGGGCUCGUAGGCGGCCAACUAAGUCAGACGUGAAAUCCCUCGGCUUAACCGGGGAACUGCAUCUGAUACUGGAUGGCUUGAGUUCGGGAGAGGGAUGCGGAAUUCCAGGUGUAGCGGUGAAAUGCGUAGAUAUCUGGAGGAACACCGGUGGCGAAGGUGGCAUCCUGGACCGACACUGACGCUGAGGCGCGAAAGCCAGGGGAGCGAACGGG
RNAcentral lists this ribosomal RNA (253 nucleotides) under uncultured bacterium. Its description in RNAcentral is "partial 16S ribosomal RNA". It matches the Rfam family "Bacterial small subunit ribosomal RNA", at positions 524 to 776 of the family's 1533-position model. The record is from RNAcentral.